This 254-nucleotide ribosomal RNA is filed under the name uncultured bacterium. Its description in RNAcentral is "partial 16S ribosomal RNA". It matches the Rfam family "Bacterial small subunit ribosomal RNA", at positions 524 to 776 of the family's 1533-position model. The record is from RNAcentral.
UACGUAGGGGGCGAGCGUUGUCCGGAUUUAUUGGGCGUAAAGAGCUCGUAGGCGGUUUGGUAAGUCGGGUGUGAAAUCUCCACGCUCAACGUGGAGGGGCCACUCGAUACUGCCAUGACUCGAGUCCGGUAGAGGAGUGUGGAAUUCCCGGUGUAGCGGUGAAAUGCGCAGAUAUCGGGAGGAACACCGGUGGCGAAGGCGGUUCUCUGGGCCUUACCUGACGCUGAGGAGCGAAAGCGUGGGGAGCGAACAGG